RNAcentral lists this ribosomal RNA (789 nucleotides) under uncultured bacterium. RNAcentral describes it as "bacterial SSU rRNA". It matches the Rfam family "Bacterial small subunit ribosomal RNA", at positions 104 to 886 of the family's 1533-position model. The record is from RNAcentral.
GGGUGAGUAACGCGUAUGCAACCUGCCCGUUUCAGCGGGAUAACCCGGAGAAAUCCGGCCUAAUACCGCAUGUGGCCGAGGGAAGGCAUCUUCUUUCGGCCAAAGGAGGCGACUCCGGAGACGGAUGGGCAUGCGUGACAUUAGCUUGUUGGCGGGGUAACGGCCCACCAAGGCGACGAUGUCUAGGGGUUCUGAGAGGAAGGUCCCCCACACUGGUACUGAGACACGGACCACACUCAAACGGGAGGCAGCAGUGAGGAAUAUUGGUCAAUGGGCGAGAGCCUGAACCAGCCAAGUCGCGUGAAGGAUGACGGCCCUACGGGUUGUAAACUUCUUUUGUCAGGGAGCAAUUGGGUCCACGCGUGGGCUUAGCGAGAGUACCUGAAGAAAAAGCAUCGGCUAACUCCGUGCCAGCAGCCGCGGUAAUACGGAGGAUGCGAGCGUUAUCCGGAUUUAUUGGGUUUAAAGUGUGCGUAGGCGGAAUAUCAAGUCAGCGGUAAAAAUUCGGGGCUCAACCCCGUCGUGCCGUUGAAACUGAUGUUCUUGAGUGGGCGAGAAGUAUGCGGAAUGCGUGGUGUAGCGGUGGAAUGCAUAGAUAUCACGCACAACUCCGAUUGCGAAGGCAGCAUACCGGCGCCCAACUGACGCUGAAGCACGAAAGCGUGAGUAUCGAACAGGAUUAGAUACCCUGGUAGUCCACGCAGUAAACGAUGAAUGCUAAUUGUCCGGAGGGAUUGACCUCUGGGUGAUACAGCGAAAGCGUUAAGUAUUCCACCUGGGGAGUACGCC